UAUAAUUUAAAGUCUGACAUUUGUACAGUAACGAUAUCGACUUGAAAAAGACAACAACUUUUUUAAGUUCAGUUUUGUUGUUGUUUUGUUCAUAAUAUUGUUUGGUUUGCUUUAUUUUAAUAACGAUGGAUAAGAAUACAAUUAAUCCAACCAAAUCGAUUCCGGCAUUUUACAUUGGACAAAGUAUAUUUUUGACAGGCGCGACAGGAUUUUUAGGCAAAGUGUUCAUCGAGAAGAUACUGAGAUCUUGUCCGGAUAUUCGAGAAAUAUUUAUAUUAAUGCGUCCGAAAAAAGGACUGAGCUUUAACGAAAGACUCGAAAAAAUGUUAAACUUACCGUUAUACGAUAAAUUACGAAAAGAGCAACCUUCAAAUUUUAAGAAAUUAAUUCCAGUUUCUGGUGAUACCAGUCAAGAAAAUUUGGGUUUGUCGGCUGUCAAUAGACAAAUGUUGAUUGAAAGAGUCACUAUAAUAAUUCAUAACGCGGCAAGCGUGAAAUUUAACGACAGCUUAAAGUACGCCAUUUUUACUAAUACCAGAUCAACGAGAGAUAUAUGUAUCUUAGCCGAAAGUAUGAAGAAUAUAGUAGCCCUAGUAUGUGUUGGCACAGCAUAUACACAUUUGGAUCAUCCGUUUAUAGAAGAAAAAGUGUAUCCACCUAUAGCCGAUUGGCGGAAAAUGAUCAAAGUGGCCGAAUCAUUGGAUGAGCAUACUUUAAAUGUUUUUACAGCUAAAUUCUUGGAUAAUAUUCCCAACACAUAUAUAUUCUCGAAAAACUUAGCGGAGGGUGUAAUACAGGAAUACUCUUCAUCCUUGCCUUGUGCAAUUGUGAGACCAUCCGUGGUGACAUGGUCGCUGAGGGAUCCAAUCCCAGGAUGGAUAGAUAAUUUUAAUGGUCCAAUGGGACUGAUAACUGCUGGCGGAAAAGGAAUAUUGCGAGUAGCAUAUGCCAAUAAUUAUACACAGCAAAACGACAUACCAGUAGAUACUGUCAUCAACACUAUAAUCCUCGUAAUUUGGAAGCUUGGAUUGACAACUUUCACACCAAAAUCCACAUGUUUUGUCGUAAACUGUACUUUCCCUGAUGAAAAAUGUAUAUCAUUUCGAGAUUUCUGCAACAUAGCAACUAACAUCUCGAAAAAGAUACCAUUCGAAGGUGUUUUGUGGAUGCCUAGUACAUUAUUUACCGAAAGUUUAAAUACGCAUUAUGUAUUGACAAUAUUGUGGCAUAUUAUACCAGCUAUAAUAAUAGAUUCAGUUUUAAAAUGUUCGGGACGUCAACCUAUGAUAUUAAGACUGCAGAGGAAAAUGUAUGUUGCCAACCGUGUUCUGCGACAUUUUUCGUGCAACGAAUGGAAAUUUGAUAACACACAUAGUCAAGAUCUAAUGUCACUAAUUCCAUCUGGUAAUCGAGAAAUGUUCUCGAUCGAUCUUUCUGAUGUAGAUAUAAAAGAGUAUAUUAGGAUUGGAGCAAUAGGUAUCAAAAAAUAUCUUCUCCGCGAAGACAUGAAUCGAUUAGAUGCAGCCAAAGCACAUUGUAAAAGAAUGAAUCUAUUCGUCGCAACAUUUAAAACUAUCAUUGCUAUUGGUAUUCUAUGGAUGAUAUAUAAGUGGAUAUGCUUUUAAAGCAUAUCAUAUAGUGAUAUUGUUGGCGCAGAUUAUUCUUUAAGUAAAACAAAAUUAUAAUUCUUGGUUAUUUGACGCCAAAUGAAAUAAACCGCUUGUGUUAUAAUUCUACUUAUUAUUAUAUCCCAGCAAAUAUUAUAUAAUAUUCAUUAAAUAUUCAUUAUUUGUGCAGUAUCCGAUAAAUUUUAACAUUAAUACGUACAAUUGAAGUGCUGAUUGAACUGAAUAGAAUCUACUUCAAAAAAUGUGUUAUUAUUGACUGCAUAUUUUAUGUUGAAAAAGUACAAAUUAAGCGCGCACGCAAUAAAUUUUUAAUUAAUAAUUGUUUCUAUUUAAAUCGAUCCCCCGCUUAUAUCGUCCAUUUACAUCGAAUUAUUUUUGAUAUUUUGCCAAAAACAUUUGAUACAUAUUUCCUUCGAUAUGUACAAUGCAU
Formica exsecta is the source of this 2058-nucleotide RNA transcript. It is a transcript of the gene named fatty acyl-CoA reductase 1-like, with no coding region annotated. The record is from RefSeq and is a predicted model, not a curated record. NCBI's taxonomy places the organism in Eukaryota, Metazoa, Arthropoda, Insecta, Hymenoptera, Formicidae. The transcript is spliced from 10 exons.